GAUGAAGAACGCAGUGAAAUGCGAUAAGUAGUGUGAAUUGCAGAAUUCAGUGAAUCAUCGAAUCUUUGAACGCACAUUGCGCCCGCCAGUAUUCUGGCGGGCAUGCCUGUCCGAGCGUCAUUUCAACCCUCGAACCCCUCCGGGGGGUCGGCGUUGGGGAUCGGCCCUGCCUCUUGGCGGUGGCCGUCUCCGAAAUACAGUGGCGGUCUCGCCGCAGCCUCUCCUGCGCAGUAGUUUGCACACUCGCAUCGGGAGCGCGGCGCGUCCACAGCCGUUAAACACCCAACUUCUGAAAUGUUGACCUCGGAUCAGGUAGGAAUACCCGCUGAACUUAAGCAUAUCAAUAAGCGGAGGA
Molecule: unclassified non-coding RNA, 355 nt
Filed under: soil metagenome
Description: partial contains 5.8S ribosomal RNA, internal transcribed spacer 2, and large subunit ribosomal RNA
Rfam family: 5.8S ribosomal RNA (bases 1-120)
Source: RNAcentral